AUAUCCUGGCUCCUACUUGUGCGGUGUAUGAGCUGAGGUACCUGUGCCUGCAGCAUGAAAUGCAGGUCCCCCGUGGGGGACGUCAGUACGAAAUAUGUACUGAGUAUGUAAAGCUGUAGAUAAUCACAUAUGAUAUAGGAGCUCAAUAGAAAUCAGAAACAAGUGAAUAAAUCAUAAUAGGAGUGGACCACACUUACUAGAACUUGUGACAACCUGUACAUUGUAUUUAUU
This 231-nucleotide long non-coding RNA is filed under the name Capsicum annuum. RNAcentral's name for it is "long non-coding RNA (CANN_LNC007874)". Lineage: Eukaryota; Viridiplantae; Streptophyta; Magnoliopsida; Solanales; Solanaceae. The record is from RNAcentral.